RNAcentral lists this ribosomal RNA (409 nucleotides) under uncultured bacterium. Its description in RNAcentral is "bacterial SSU rRNA". It matches the Rfam family "Bacterial small subunit ribosomal RNA", at positions 28 to 433 of the family's 1533-position model. The record is from RNAcentral.
GAUGAACGCUAGCGGCAGGCUUAAUACAUGCAAGUCGAGGGGCAGCAUGGUGUAGCAAUACACUGAUGGCGACCGGCAAACGGGUGCGGAACACGUACAGAACCUUCCUUCGAGCGGGGAAUAGCCCAGAGAAAUUUGGAUUAAUACCCCAUAGUAUAGCGGAGAGGCAUCUCUCUGUUAUUAAAGAUUUAUCACUUGAAGAUGGCUGUGCGGCUGAUUAGGUAGUUGGCGGGGUAACGGCCCACCAAGCCUGCGAUCAGUAACUGGUGUGAGAGCACGACCAGUCACACGGGCACUGAGACACGGGCCCGAUCCUACGGGAGGCAGCAGUAAGGAAUAUUGGUCAAUGGACGAAAGUCUGACCAGCCAUGCCGCGUGGAGGAUGAAGGUCCUCUGGAUUGUAAACUUC